GAUGAAGAACGUAGCGAAAUGCGAUAAGUAGUGUGAAUUGCAGAAUUCAGUGAAUCAUCGAAUCUUUGAACGCACAUUGCGCCCUUUGGUAUUCCUUAGGGCAUGCCUGUUCGAGCGUCAUCUAAACCUUCAAGCUCAGCUUGGUGAUGGGCGACUGUCCCCCCCCCCUCGCGGGGGGGACUCGCCUCAAAAACAUUGGCGGCCGGUACAUUGGCUUCGAGCGCAGCAGAAACGCGGUCUCGAGCCCGGUGGAUCGGCUCCCAUAAGCCUAUUCUUUUAUUUUGACCUCGGAUCAGGUAGGGAUACCCGCUGAACUUAAGCAUAUCAAUAAGCGGAGGA
RNAcentral lists this unclassified non-coding RNA (339 nucleotides) under soil metagenome. Its description in RNAcentral is "partial contains 5.8S ribosomal RNA, internal transcribed spacer 2, and large subunit ribosomal RNA". The stretch from base 1 to 120 matches the Rfam family "5.8S ribosomal RNA", at positions 35 to 154 of the family's 154-position model. The record is from RNAcentral.